Molecule: ribosomal RNA, 440 nt
Filed under: uncultured bacterium
Lineage: Bacteria
Description: partial 16S ribosomal RNA
Rfam family: Bacterial small subunit ribosomal RNA
Source: RNAcentral
CCUACGGGUGGCUGCAGUGGGGAAUAUUGGACAAUGGGGGCAACUCUGAACCAGCGAUGCCGCGUGCGUGAAGACGUAUCUCGGUAUGUAAAGCUCCAUCUGCAGGGGAGAAAAUGACGGUACCUGUCUAUGUAGCCCCGUCUAAUUAGGGUCCAGCUGCAGCGGCAACACGUAGGCUGCCAGCGUUAUCCGGAUUUACCGGGUGUAAAGGGAGCGUAGACGGUGCAGCAAGUCAGAGGUGAAAGGUCGGGGCCCAACCCCGGGAUUGCAUUGGAAACUGUUGAACUGGAGUACAGGAGAGGUAGGCGGAAUGCCUGGUGUAGCGGUGAAAUGCGUAGAUAUUAGAAGGAACACCGAUGGCGAAGGCAGCUUACUGGACUGUAACUGACGUUGAGGCUCGAAAGCGUGGGGAGCAAACAGGAUUAGAUACCCUAGUAGUC